CCUACGGGAGGCAGCAGUGAGGAAUAUUGGUCAAUGGCCGCAGGGCUGAACCAGCCAAGUCGCGUGAGGGAUGACGGUCCCAUGGAUUGUAAACCUCUUUUGUCAGGGAGCACAGUGCGCCACGUGUGGCGUUUUGCGAGUACCUGAAGAAAAAGCAUUGGCUAACUCCGUGCCAGCCGCCGCGGUAAUACGGAGGAUGCGAGCGUUAUCCGGAUUUAUUGGGUUUAAAGGGUGCGCAGUCGGAAUGUCAAGUCAGCGGUAAAAUUUCGGGGCUCAACCCCGUCGUGCCGUUGAAACUGGCGUUCUUGAGUGAGCGAGAGGUAUGCGGAAUGCGUGGUGUAGCGGUGAAAUGCGUAGAUAUCACGAAGAACUCCGAUUGCGAAGGCAGCAUACCGGCGCUCAACUGACGCUCAUGCACGAAAGCGUGGGUAGCGAACAGGAUUAGAUACCCGAGUAGUC
Molecule: ribosomal RNA, 459 nt
Filed under: uncultured bacterium
Lineage: Bacteria
Description: partial 16S ribosomal RNA
Rfam family: Bacterial small subunit ribosomal RNA
Source: RNAcentral